RNAcentral lists this ribosomal RNA (446 nucleotides) under uncultured bacterium. Its description in RNAcentral is "partial 16S ribosomal RNA". It matches the Rfam family "Bacterial small subunit ribosomal RNA", at positions 338 to 795 of the family's 1533-position model. The record is from RNAcentral.
CCUACGGGGUGCUGCAGUCGAGAAUCAUUCACAAUGGGGGAAACCCUGAUGGUGCGACGCUGCGUGGGGGAAUGAAGGUCUUCGGAUUGUAAACCCCUGUCAUGUGGGAGCAAAUUAAAAAGAUAGUACCACAAGAGGAAGCGACGGCUAACUCUGUGCCAGCAGCCGCGGUAAUACAGAGGUCUCAAGCGUUGUUCGGAAUCACUGGGCGUAAAGCGUGCGUAGGCUGUUUCGUAAGUCGUGUGUGAAAGGCGCGGGCUCAACCCGCGGACGGCACAUGAUACUGCGAGACUAGAGUAAGGGAGGGGGAACCGGAAUUCUCGGUGUAGCAGUGAAAUGCGUAGAUAUCGAGAGGAACACUCGUGGCGAAGGCGGGUUCCUGGACAUUAACUGACGCUGAGGCACGAAGGCCAGGGGAGCGAAAGGGAUUAGAUACCCUUGUAGUC